GAAAAGAAACUAACUAGGAUUCCCUCAGUAAGGGCGACUGAAGCGGGAAGUGCUCACCGUGUGAAUCUGUACAGGAAAAAGAAAGCCCUGUACCGAGUUGUGGUCUGUAGAAGCAAUGUCUGUCAGCGUCUCGGGCCAAGUCCUUUGGAACAAGGCAGCAGAGAGGGUGAGACUCCCGUUCUUGCCUGUGACGUUUGACAAUGGCACAUGCCUUCGACGAGUCGAGUUGUUUGGGAUUGCAGCUCAAAGUGGGUGGUAAAUUCCAUCUAAAGCUAAAUAUUGGUAGGAGACCGAUAGCGAACAAGUACCGUGAGGGAAAGAUGAAAAGAACUUUGAAAAGAGAGUUAAAGAGUACCUGAAAUUGCUGAAAGGGAAGCGAAGGAAACCAGUGUUGUUUCGUCUCAUUCUUCCUGUGCUGCUUGCAGCAUAGGCGCUGUGGGUCGGGAUAGGCCAGCCUGGGUUUGGGUCGGUGCAAAUUGUCACUUCGGAGGUAGGUCCUUUUCGGGCUGAAGACGGUGUGAUGUUGCGCUGGUCUGGACUUACGCUGGCGAAAUGGUUUUCUUUACCCCGUCUUGAAACACGGACCAAGGAGUCUAACAUAUGUGCGAGUAUAGGGGUGGCAAACCCCCAUGCGUAAUGAAAGUAACAGUGGUAGGACCUUCUGGGGCACUAUCCGCCGGCCACAAUCCUUCGGGAGAAAGGUCUGAGUGUGAGCAUACAUGUUGGGACCCGAAAGAUGGUGAACUAUGCCUGAGUAGGGGGAAGCCAGGGAAACU
This 776-nucleotide ribosomal RNA is filed under the name Chaetoceros sp. Na13C2. RNAcentral's name for it is "partial large subunit ribosomal RNA". It matches the Rfam family "Eukaryotic large subunit ribosomal RNA", at positions 56 to 863 of the family's 3401-position model. Lineage: Eukaryota; Bacillariophyta; Thalassiosirophyceae; Chaetocerotales; Chaetocerotaceae. The record is from RNAcentral.